GGAUAGCGUGUGUACUGUUUAUGGGCGGUCGUAUCGCUUACCAUCAGGCGAACGGCAAGCUCGUCUCGUCAUUCAACCCAAUAAUAAAUAAAUUAAAAAAACAAACACAUACGUAAUUAAUAAAAGUAUACUGAACUCUGAACGCAUUCUCUGUCGUAUCAAAUUUAAAGCCAACAGUAAAGGCCAAAUUCCCACAAGACGGACUAGCUUUUGUCGGCGGCUCCGCCCACGUCAAGAAGUUUACCCGGAAUGAAAGCAGCCUUUAGCACUCAAGAGUCGUUACUCCUGUAGCGUCCUAUUAGUGAAUUAAUUUUCAAAAUGAAACUAAUGGAUAAGCUCAUAAUGUAGUGUGUGUACUUAGUAUAUAAGUAAUGUAAUGUGUAGUAUUAAGUCAGUAUAAUGAGUGCAGUCAAAUAAAGGACCUGAAACUAUUAACACGUUA
This is a long non-coding RNA of Manduca sexta (tobacco hornworm), 442 nucleotides long. RefSeq lists it as uncharacterized. The transcript is spliced from 2 exons. The record is from RefSeq and is a predicted model, not a curated record. NCBI's taxonomy places the organism in Eukaryota, Metazoa, Arthropoda, Insecta, Lepidoptera, Sphingidae.